RNAcentral lists this non-coding RNA (81 nucleotides) under Streptomyces sp. Lineage: Bacteria; Bacillati; Actinomycetota; Actinomycetes; Kitasatosporales; Streptomycetaceae. The record is from RNAcentral.
GGGGAAGCCGGUGCGAUUCCGGCGCUGACCCGCAACCGUGACCCGCCCCCGGCACCAUCCGGGCGGGGAGCCGGAAUGCCC